UCUCCUGUUAUUCAAUUAACCAUUUACAAAACUUAUAUCAAAUCCAAUGUUAUUGAAAGGUAAACAUUAUUUUGAUAAAAAAGCUAUGAAUGGGAUUUGGGGAUACUUUGAGUUCAUUUUUAGUUAAAAAUGUCGCUGUGAAACUCCUACUUCUACAUGUGUUAUUUGGAGAGACUUCUAAAUAAAAAUAACACGACAUCUAUCCAAAGACGAACAAGAAAAUAUUUACAAAAGACAACUGAUGGCAGACUUAUUGUCUCUCUGCAACUUCAUUGGCAGAUACAAAACUUUAAUUUCAAUCCAAACCCAGAUAACCUCUGAUCACUUCAUCCAUGGAGAUCAUCUCAAACCCCAUAAAGCUUCUCCAUUUUAUCAAUUAUUGCUACUCUGUUCAUCUUCUUCUUCCUCUGCUUUUCUCCCGCCAUGGCUACUGAUGAAGAUGACAUAAGAUGCCUACGAGGAAUCCAGACCUGAUUCCUCUCUCACCGACCCUCAGAGAGUUCUCAAAUUAUGAAAUUUCGGCGGCGCGUCUUGUUGGAACAAUCAAGAGAACAUAGUCAUCAAUCUCGUGCUUUAAGACAUGGGUUUAUCUGGUCGGAUCCCAGAGUCUUUUCAAUAUUAUGGUAGCUUACAAAAGCUUGAUCGAUCUAGCAAUCAAUAGUCUGGUAACAUUCCUCCAAAGCUAUGUACUUGGUAACCGUUCUUGAUGUCCCUUGAUCUGUUUAAUAAUGAAUUGGAUGGUGAGAUUCCUCCUAGUUUAGCUGAGUGUAGGUUCAUGAACUCUUUGGUACGAUCUGAGAAUCAAUUUUUUUUUCUUUUUUUUGAUAUUGCAGCUGGUGUGUUUGGAGUUUGAUGGUAUAUACGAGAAAGAGAGUAGUUAAAAACGAAGGAGUUAAUAUCUUAGCGCAGAGACUUAGCCAUAUGGUAGCGCAAGUCUCUUUGUUUAAGAAGCCUUUGGUUAAGGUUAAGCUUGGGGACUUGAUGGCUGCAACUAAUGCACUUGCAGUGAAGCACUUGAGUGAGUGUAAGCUUGGGGAGAAGGAGUUUCGGUAUGAGAUGAAUCAGUUGUGGGAGCUGUGUAACCGUAACUUGUUCAGAAGUUCUUCUUCUCAGUAGUAGCACCUCCACCAGACCUCAUGAACACUAGACAUAUCCUCCCUCUUCCUCUUAGCAACCUUAAGAGCCCUCUUUCUUUACCAACUUUGAGAAGCCUCAAUGGUUUUCUCUCGUAAGGAGCAAAUUCAGUUAGUUCCAUUAUCAAUGAUCUGAUGAACCACAUUGUCUUCCUCGUUUUCCCUUUGCGAGAGUUACGAUACGGAGCAAACUCGUGUCUUGUAAACGAUGUGUCAUUUGUUCAAAAAAUAAUGAAACAACAUAGAUUAAUAAUAUCAAA
Raphanus sativus (radish) is the source of this 1393-nucleotide long non-coding RNA. RefSeq lists it as uncharacterized. NCBI's taxonomy places the organism in Eukaryota, Viridiplantae, Streptophyta, Magnoliopsida, Brassicales, Brassicaceae. The record is from RefSeq and is a predicted model, not a curated record. The transcript has 2 exons.